CAGGAAAUAAUUUAAUAAAAAUAUUAAUUUUGGAGAUUAAAAUUAUACAAUGUAUUUUCUUGA
Molecule: transfer RNA, 63 nt
Filed under: Leptaulax koreanus
Lineage: Eukaryota; Metazoa; Arthropoda; Insecta; Coleoptera; Passalidae
Description: tRNA-Pro
Source: RNAcentral